UUGAACGCUGGCGGAAUGCUUUACACAUGCAAGUCGAGCGGCAGCGCGGGGGCAACCCUGGCGGCGAGCGGCGAACGGGUGAGUAACAUAUCGGAACGUACCCUGUCGUGGGGGAUAACUAUCCGAAAGGAUAGCUAAUACCGCAUACGCCCUGAGGGGGAAAGUGGGGGAUCGCAAGACCUCACGUUAUUGGAGCGGCCGAUAUCGGAUUAGCUAGUUGGUGGGGUAAAGGCUCACCAAGGCGACGAUCCGUAGCGGGUCUGAGAGGACGGCCCGCCACACUGGAACUGAGACACGGUCCAGACUCCUACGGGAGGCAGCAGUGGGGAAUUUUGGACAAUGGGGGCAACCCUGAUCCAGCCAUUCCGCGUGAGUGAAGAAGGCCUUCGGGUUGUAAAGCUCUUUCAGCAGGAACGAAACGGUGGCUACUAAUACUAGCUACUAAUGACGGUACCUGAAGAAGAAGCACCGGCUAACUACGU
RNAcentral lists this ribosomal RNA (482 nucleotides) under uncultured bacterium. RNAcentral describes it as "bacterial SSU rRNA". It matches the Rfam family "Bacterial small subunit ribosomal RNA", at positions 30 to 506 of the family's 1533-position model. The record is from RNAcentral.